AACGAACGCUGGCGGCAGGCCUCAAACAUGCAAGUCUAGGGGGUGCAGCAAUGCAUCACCGGCGGACGGGUGCGUAACGCGUGGGAAUAUACCUAUUGGUUCGGAACAACUGCGGGAAACUGCAGCUAAUACCGAAUGUGCCCUAACGGGGAAAGAUUUAUCGCCAAUGGAUUAGCCCGCGUAGGAUUAGCUAGUUGGUGGGGUAAUGGCUCACCAAGGCUCCGAUCCUUAGCUGUUCUGAGAGGAAGAUCAGCCACACUGGGACUGAGACACGGCCCAGACUCCUACGGGAGGCAGCAGUUGGGAAUCUUGGACAAUGGGGGAAACCCGUGAUCCAGCCAUGCCGCGUGAGUGAUGAAGGCCUU
RNAcentral lists this ribosomal RNA (365 nucleotides) under uncultured bacterium. RNAcentral describes it as "bacterial SSU rRNA". It matches the Rfam family "Bacterial small subunit ribosomal RNA", at positions 29 to 418 of the family's 1533-position model. The record is from RNAcentral.